CCUACGGGUGGCAGCAGUGAGGAAUAUUGGUCAAUGGACGAGAGUCUGAACCAGCCAAGUAGCGUGAAGGAUGACUGCCCUAUGGGUUGUAAACUUCUUUUAUAUGGGAAUAAAAUGUUCCACGUGUGGGAUUUUGUAUGUACCAUAUGAAUAAGGAUCGGCUAACUCCGUUCCAGCAGCCGCGGUAAUACGGAGGAUCCGAGCGUUAUCCGGAUUUAUUGGGUUUAAAGGGAGCGUAGGUGGAUUGUUAAGUCAGUUGUGAAAGUUUGCGGCUCAACCGUAAGAUUGCAGUUGAAACUGGCAGUCUUGAGUACAGUAGAGGUGGGCGGAAUUCGUGGUGUAGCGGUGAAAUGCUUAGAUAUCACGAAGAACUCCGAUUGCGAAGGCAGUUCACUGGACUGCAACUGACACUGAGGCUCGAAAGUGUGGGUAUCAAACAGGAUUAGAUACCCGUGUAGUC
This 460-nucleotide ribosomal RNA is filed under the name uncultured bacterium. RNAcentral's name for it is "partial 16S ribosomal RNA". It matches the Rfam family "Bacterial small subunit ribosomal RNA", at positions 338 to 795 of the family's 1533-position model. The record is from RNAcentral.